Balaenoptera ricei (Rice's whale) is the source of this 2746-nucleotide long non-coding RNA. RefSeq lists it as uncharacterized. The transcript has 5 exons. The record is from RefSeq and is a predicted model, not a curated record. Lineage: Eukaryota; Metazoa; Chordata; Mammalia; Artiodactyla; Balaenopteridae.
GGAACUCUGCCAAAGGCCCUGGUGAGAACGGAGGAGUUCGCUGUCCAUUCCUUCCAGUGACGUUGAAUCACCUGACUGGGGCUGAAGUAGCAACCAGGUGGUUAGGCCCACCUUUGUGAGUCAAGCAUUUUCUAUGGCGUGGGCUCAACCAAGCACCCGCAGCACCUCUGCUUCUCAGCUAUGAAGUGUGAUGCGAACGGCUCCCAGGAGGUGUACAGUGUACGUCCGUAUGUGGCAACCUGCCUACCUUCAGUGGAAGGCGGAUGGAGACUUGCCUGGGAUAAACCUAGGUGCACGUGAAGAUUCUUGGUAAUAUCCAGACACCAUCUCUUCCUCUUCAACUCCAAGAACCAUCUCUUCAUGUUAUUUAUUGUGAAAUGUGCCAUUCUUGCUUAGUUUCUUAUUUCCCACCGCAAAAAAAGACCUGCCGACUUCUCCUGAUCUUCCUUUGGAUGCUCUCCUGUCCGUGUGGUCUGCCUGCAAAUUUACCAAGGGGAACCUAGGGGUAGAUAGCCAUAAUCACUGCAUUCCUGAAUUAUGAUUGCUUUCAAUGCUGACCACAGUCCUGCCUUCCACACACCACACCAGUGGGGAGCACAGGAAAGGGGCCUGUGAGCAGAGUGAGAAGAGCGGCCCCCUUCAUACAAGAUACAUCCAUCCCUUGUUCUCCAUGGCUUAAGACAGAUGAGAGCACCAUGUCAUCACACUGAUUGGAGGCAUGAAAAGUACAUCAAUGGAAAGAGCACAUCGGCAUUGCAGAUCAGCAUCUCAAAAGUCCUUGGAGGAAACAGGCAUGGCCGCUUCUGCCAAAGGGAGUGAGGUGACCACCCUGGGGGCUAGCUGGGGAAGGGACAGCAGGACACACAGAGUAAAGGACAUCUGCUGCCCUUUUCUCCCAUUUCCCUGGCUGCAGUAGGUCAGAGGGGCAGUGUGGUCUGAACAGAGAGGUGCAAGCCAAUACCUGGGUCCACGCUUGCAGCUCAAGCGUCUGCAAUGGAUUGUUGGUGGCUCACAAUCUUAAACCCAGCCUGGUUCCAAAGUGAGUGAGAAUCAUCUAAAUCAGCAUACUAAAACUAUUUUGGCAGCCCAGUCUUGCACAAAUGGUGAAAGAACUACUGUAUCAGAUAGCAAGAGUGAGGUCCUUGCCUGGCUGUCCUCUUGGAACCAGAGCUGGCUAUGGGGCUCCAUGAUAUGAAUCCUGGAGUAUCUCAGGGCAUCUGGUCAACCCCACACAUGAGUGAGAGAGGGCUGGGGGUAAGAUAGAGGGUUGAAGAGUUCUUCAAAGAAAAGAAAUGGAGAAUGAGACCCACCGGGUAUGGACAUGGUCUGGGACGGGGUAGCUGUUCCUGGACGGCACCUCUGGCCAGCCCCAACCACUGAAGUGAGACUUAGAAGAUUUCAAGGUAGAAAUUUCUGGCCAACAGGACCCACAUGGGGCCUGGUCUGGAUUGGGGCACCUGGCCAAGAUGUCACUGGUGGUCUUGGAGGGGCACUCAGAAAAUUUUGGGGAAUACCAAUCCAAAAUGCAGUACCACUUGAGGCACAAGGUCUGGGGCAGGGGACCUCUUACCUAGAUCUAAUGAUAUUUUCUACCUCUACCACUGGAUAUUAUUCACUAAGACUUAACGGUCCAGCAAGAAACUGGGUUCAACGCUGAGCCAAUGAAUCUUCCAACCACCCACCCAUCCAUCCAACAAAUGUUCGUUGAGCACAUAACACUGUGCUAGUGUUGCGUUAGGUUCAGGAGAAAUAGAAGUGGAUCUUCUUAACCAUUAUCCACACCAAGCUAGUUCUGUACAACUGAAAAAGGAAGAAAAGGAAAAAAAAAACUGGCUACAGAUGACAUACCUCUCAUACAUCUGUUCAGUUAAACACUUUUCUCAAUUAUGGCUUUCGAAAACUGUUCCAGUUACUAUGGUUCCACACAAUUUACCCCAAAACUUAGUGGCUUAAAACAAUGACAAUAUUUAUUUUGCUCAUGAAUCUGCUAUUCGGGCUGGGGUUAUCUUGUCUCUGCUUUGCUUGCUUUCAGGUGAGUUGGCUUGAAGCCUGGGGACUGGAAUCAUCUGAAGCCUUCCUCACUCACAUGUCUGGCCAUUGGUGUUGUCAGCUGAGACAGGUCAUCUCAGGUUGUCAGCUGGAACAUCUCCACAUGCUCUCUUCAUGUGGUCUGAGCUUCCUCCCAGUAUGGUGACUGGGUACUGAGGGUGAGCAUUGCAAAAGGGGGUAAGCCAGGUGGAAGCUGAAUCCUCUUUAUGACCUAGCCCCAGAAGUCACCAAGCAUUACUUCUGCCCUAUUGGCCAGAACAGUCACAGCAGCCAACCAGACUCAAGGAGAGGGAAUAUGGAUCCAUCUCUCAGUGGCAAGAUGUUGGUUACAUUGUAAGAAGAACUGGGGGAUGGAUUAUAUAUAUUGGUGAGGUCAAUUCAGGAAAAAAGUGCCACAUAAGGUUGAUACAACUGCUCCAUUUUUUUUUUCCUUUUUCAAAUGCAAUACCUUUUAAUACACAGUAAUUAAGUACAUGAUACAAAGUGAUUAUUCUGACAGUACAGUUUCAGAUGAAGACAAUUCCCCAAUUCAUUCUACUUUUAUAGUUAGAAUUUACGAUGCAGAACAGAUUUGAAUUGUGCCCUGUUUGGAUAAUCCAAAUGUUUUAUUCUGUAUAGCAUUUCAUAUGUCUCUUCAGUCCAUUGUGCAUGCACACUUUUCGCAUAUGUUUCAAAGUGUUCUGAUGUUUAAUUUUCC